CCUUUAACGCAAAGGAUAGCGCGUUGGACUUCUCGUUCAAAGGUCAUGGGUUCGAAUCCCAACUGAGCUGGC
Molecule: non-coding RNA, 72 nt
Organism: Trichonephila clavipes
Lineage: Eukaryota; Metazoa; Arthropoda; Arachnida; Araneae; Nephilidae
Source: the annotation of a GenBank genome assembly